This 1890-nucleotide long non-coding RNA is filed under the name Erythranthe guttata (spotted monkey flower). RNAcentral's name for it is "long non-coding RNA (EGUT_LNC001520)". Lineage: Eukaryota; Viridiplantae; Streptophyta; Magnoliopsida; Lamiales; Phrymaceae. The record is from RNAcentral.
CUCUGCACACAUUCUCAUAACUUCUCCCAACUUCUCCAUUCAACCGUCUGCAUUCAGAUCAUACAUCUUCCUGUUCUUCGAAAAUAUUUCGCAAUUCAUCUCAAAAUCCCUCUCGGCUCGCAUUUUCAGGUAAUUCUUUCAUUCAAAUCAAUAUCAUAAACAAUGACAAAGAUCUUCAGUUUUCACUUUAUUUAAUUCGCUAAUUUGUGAAUUUCUAGGUUCUCGAAACCUUUUCACAAAAUCCGAAUUGUUCAAGGGUAGUUAUUUUUUUGUUAAUAUAUUUAUUAGUUUACAGAUUAUGCGUCGCAUUAUUGUCACAACUGGGGGAUUUGUUAGGCAAUCUAUAUGUUAUUUUGGGGCUUAAGAAACAUGGAAAGGUUGAAAAUUAUGAAGAAUAGAGUUGUUCCGACUUUGCAUGUUAUAUUGUUGUUUUAAUUCCUCAUCCAUUAUCAUUUUCGAUCUUUUUCUUUCACAACUUUUUUGGUGGGUUUAUUACAGUUAAUUAAUACCCACAAUUAUGAGACCUCAGAUCGGGUUAAUCUUUUUUUUCUUUUUUUUUUGUAUUUAUAAAGGAAUUGUACAGUCUUAACCUUUUUCUAAUUAUUAUAGUUCUUUAAUAUAUGCUAUUAUGUUUCAAUUUUAAUUAUAAUACUUUCAAAUUACUCUGUUUUAGGAAUGAAAAUAUAUAUAUAUAUAUAUAUAUAUAUAUAUAUAUAUAUAUAUAUAUAUAUAUAUACAGUGGCGGAGCCAGGAUUUUCGGUGAGGGUGGGCUAAAGUUUUACGGGGGUUCGGGGGUAGAGCCCCCGAAAUUUUUUAAGAGUUUUUUUUUCAAAAAUUUAGAGAAAAUAGAUAGAAAUUUGUAUAUUUUUAUUAAAUUAUAUAAAUUAAAUUGCAUAUUGUCCAAAAUAUAAUUAUUGGAGCUCUCUAAAAUACAUUGCAGAUUUGUUGGGUGGGCUAAUUAUUUGGAUUAGUAUUAAAAUAGCAUAUGAAAGAAUUAACUAAACAUGAUUAGCAUUAAAAAAUUGCAUUAAGAAAAUAAACCAGGGUGGGCUUCAGCCCACCCAGAAGACAACAUAGCUCCGCCCCUAUAUAUAUAUAUAUAUAUAUAUAUAUAUAUAUAUAUAUAUAUGCUUUUCAUUUACUUCUUAUUGGCUUUAUGGUAAAUUUGACAUGGUGAAAUUGACCUUUCUGUAGUCACAUUAGGCAAGAAACUUAAGGUUUUGUUUCGAUGAAAAUCGCCAAUUGGGUAAUUCACGAGUAUGCCGAUGGAUUAAUUCAUGAUCUCCAUGACAAUUUCACAUCUCAUAAUGCACCCGUGCUGUCAACGCCGCCGCCGCGCCGGAGCUUAAUGAAGACAUGACGCUUGAUGAAGACCUAAUAGUGUAUCAUCUAUUCUAAGACUAAAGGUUUGCUAUGCUUAUUAACAAUAACUUUAAGUUGCUCCACUAGAAGAAGAUGAAGCAAAUGUUGGCUCAAUUGCGUUCUUAAGGUAUUGGGGCUUCAUGUUUGUGCCAAUACUUUGGUCGGAUGGAGAUGAAAUGACAAGGUAUUUCUUUAUAAAUGCAUUUCAUUGAAUUUUUCCAAACAAAUUAACCUAGCAUUGUUUUUCUUUCUUCCAUCUCAGAACAUCUGUGUGAGUGUCAAUUUGGCAUUGAAAGGGUAAAUGUUCACCAAGGAAUUUAUGAAACUAGAUGUCAUCUAUACUGCAGAAUACAACCAAUUAAGGGUAUAUUCUUAAGAAUUUGUUUUGUGAUCAGUUCUAGGGAUAAUAGUUUUAGGGCUUAAUUGGAUGUUUGGUUCAGUUCAUUAAUUUUAUUAUAUUUACUGAUUUUUUGUAUUCGGAGGUUUACCUUACAUGAAUAAAGUUGGCAAACGUAGACUCAAUUUUAU